This 78-nucleotide transfer RNA is filed under the name Pyrolobus fumarii 1A. RNAcentral's name for it is "tRNA-Met". It matches the Rfam family "tRNA". Rfam says of the family: Transfer RNA (tRNA) molecules are approximately 80 nucleotides in length. Their secondary structure includes four short double-helical elements and three loops (D, anti-codon, and T loops). Lineage: Archaea; Thermoproteati; Thermoproteota; Thermoprotei; Desulfurococcales; Pyrodictiaceae. The record is from RNAcentral.
GCCGCCGUAGCUCAGCUGGCAGAGCGCCGGACUCAUACGAUCCGGAGGUCCCGGGUUCAAAUCCCGGCGGCGGCACCA